AGCUAGUGUGGCAUAGUGGUUUCAGUGUUGGACUAUGACUCUGGAGAUCAGGGUUCAAAUCCUGGCUUGGCCA
This 73-nucleotide transfer RNA is filed under the name Phrynosoma platyrhinos (Desert horned lizard). Its description in RNAcentral is "tRNA-OTHER". The record is from RNAcentral. Lineage: Eukaryota; Metazoa; Chordata; Lepidosauria; Squamata; Phrynosomatidae.